CACAAUCCAGUAGCAGCCGUCGCCCAAGCUCAGUUGGCCGGAGACGGGCAACAGCGAACAUGCUGAGCUGCUUCCCCACUUCGCGAGGCCGCAGCCCCAGGACCCCAGGCAGAGAAAGUAUCUGUGAAAGAUUGAGAAGACGGUUGACACCAUCCAGACGCAGCAGGCCGCACUGCAGCAGCGACACAACUGCUGGAUCAGGUCUGGAGCUAAGAAGUUUUCUGCCUCAUGAAUAUGCAAAUAACCAGCAUCUGCUGAGGUAAAUAUGGAUAUAUCUGUGCCCCAGAGCAUUCCACAGCCAUCACCCUCUUCUGAAGAAUCCCCC
Molecule: long non-coding RNA, 325 nt
Filed under: Fukomys damarensis (Damara mole-rat)
Lineage: Eukaryota; Metazoa; Chordata; Mammalia; Rodentia; Bathyergidae
Description: lncRNA (ENSFDAG00000028435.1)
Source: RNAcentral